AUGCUAUCUUUUGAAAUCUUAUUGGCUGAUGAUGAGACGCGUGCUGAUCCUUUAGUGAAGAACUGUGCUUUGGAAUGCCAAGAUAUGGAAAUGUCUGAAGAGUCAGGUGCCACGAGUAAGUACAACGAUGAUGGCCAGAUAGAUGAUUUUCUGCAAUCAAUUCAGAAAAUACGGGAUGAAAUUCUUCGCAAGGAAAUCAUACUUCAAGAACGAAGUGCUCAGUGUGAUAUGGACAUCCAGACACUCUUGAGUGAAGGAAAGAUGACACCCAAAGCUGUAUCAAUAAUAAGAAAAUACAAGGAAACUUGCUCAGAUAUGACAGAAGUUACCAAUUCAUCUUGCUCUGGAGAUGGGGGCCAAUCUAUCACUAAGAGGAAGAAAUUGAAGGUGGCACUCCUCCGACAAUGCAAGGAGCUUGAUGAGAUCUGUCGUGGGGCCCAUUGGAUACUCCCAAGAUACACAGUAUUACCUUCAGUAUCAGAUGGAAUGUAUCACGCCAGUGUACGUUUGAGAUGCCCUGAUUUUGAGAUGAGCCUCACUGGUGGUCUUCGUCCUACCCCACAUGAGGCGAAGUGCUCGGCAGCUGCCAAUAUGAUACUGGAGCUUCACAAGAAGGCGGAAGAGCAAGAACAGGAGGGUACCUGA
RNAcentral lists this ribosomal RNA (645 nucleotides) under Triticum aestivum (bread wheat). Its description in RNAcentral is "partial small subunit ribosomal RNA". The record is from RNAcentral. Lineage: Eukaryota; Viridiplantae; Streptophyta; Magnoliopsida; Poales; Poaceae.